This 405-nucleotide ribosomal RNA is filed under the name uncultured bacterium. Its description in RNAcentral is "partial 16S ribosomal RNA". It matches the Rfam family "Bacterial small subunit ribosomal RNA", at positions 29 to 526 of the family's 1533-position model. The record is from RNAcentral.
AUUGCACGCUAGCGGGAUGCUUUACACAUGCAAGUCGAACGAGUGGCGGACGGGUGAGUAAUAUAUCGGAACGUGCCCCGUAGCGGGGGAUAACUACUCGAAAGAGUGGCUAAUACCGCAUACUCUUGGAGCCGCCGAUAUCGGAUUAGCUAGUUGGUGGGGUAAAGGCUCACCAAGGCAACGAUCCGUAGCUGGUUUGAGAGGAGGACCAGCGAGACUGGGACGGAGACACGGCCCAGAGUGCUACGGGAGGCAGCAGUGGGGAAUGUUGGAAAAUGGGGGAAAGCCUGAUGCAGCCAGCCCGAGUGUAGGAGAAGGGCUUAGGGUUGUAAAGGACUUUUGGCAGAGAAGCGGUAGCUGAAGAAUAAGCACCGGCUAACUACGUGCCAGCAGCCGCGGUAAUAC